This 568-nucleotide ribosomal RNA is filed under the name Clostridium sp. MU02-8. RNAcentral's name for it is "bacterial SSU rRNA". It matches the Rfam family "Bacterial small subunit ribosomal RNA", at positions 30 to 622 of the family's 1533-position model. The record is from RNAcentral. Lineage: Bacteria; Bacillati; Bacillota; Clostridia; Eubacteriales; Clostridiaceae.
GGAACCUAGAGGCUUGCCUUAACAUGCAAGUCGAGCGAUCUACUUCGUUAGAGAGCGGCGGCACGGGUGCGUAACGCGUGGGCUAACCUGCCCUGUACACACGAGAUAACAUACACUGAAAGGUAUGCUAAUACUGGAUAACAUAAUUUUAUCGCAUGGUCAAAUUAUCAAAGCUCCGGCGGUACAAGAUGGACCCACGUCUGCUUAGCUAGUUGGUAAGGUAACGGCUUACCAAGGCGACGAUCAGUAGCCGACCUGAGAGGGUGAUCGGCCACAUUGGAACUGAGACACGGUCCAAACUCCUACAGGAGGCAGCAGUGGGGAAUAUUGCACAAUGGGCGAAAGCCUGAUGCAGCAACGCCGCGUGACCGAUGAAGGCCUUCGGGUCGUAAAGCUCUGUCCUCAAGGAAGAUAAUGACGGAACUUGAGGAGGAAGCCCCGGCUAACUACGUGCCAGCACCCGCGGUAAUACGUAGGGGGCUAGCGUUAUCCGGAUUUACUGGGCUUAAAGGGUGCGUAGGUGGUUUCUUAAGUCAUAAGUGAAAGGCUACGGCUCACCCGUAGUAAG